AGUAGUUGUGUGUGUGUCUUUGCUUAACUUGUAACAAAGCUUAACAGACAGUUGCAAACAGUUAAAUCCUCUUUUGUAACUCAGAACACAUUGUUGAGUAUGAAUUUCUGGUACAUGUGAAAAAGAACAUG
Small nucleolar RNA from Dipodomys ordii (Ord's kangaroo rat), 131 nucleotides. Lineage: Eukaryota; Metazoa; Chordata; Mammalia; Rodentia; Heteromyidae. The record is from Ensembl.